CCUACGGGUGGCAGCAGUGGGGAAUAUUGGACAAUGGGGGCAACCCCGAUCCAGCCAUGCCGCGUGUGUGAAGAAGGCCCUCGGGUUGUAAAGCACUUUCAGUGAGGAAGAACGCCUGGUGGUUAAUACCCAUCAGGAAAGACAUCACUCACAGAAGAAGCACCGGCUAACUCCGUGCCAGCAGCCGCGGUAAUACGGAGGGUGCGAGCGUUAAUCGGAAUUACUGGGCGUAAAGCGCGCGUAGGUGGCUUGAUAAGCCGGUUGUGAAAGCCCCGGGCUCAACCUGGGAACGGCAUCCGGAACUGUCAAGCUAGAGUGCAGGCGAGGAAGGUAGAAUUCCCGGUGUAGCGGUGAAAUGCGUAGAGAUCGGGAGGAAUACCAGUGGCGAAGGCGGCCUUCUGGACUGACACUGACACUGAGGUGCGAAAGCGUGGGUAGCAAACAGGAUUAGAUACCCCGGUAGUC
This 465-nucleotide ribosomal RNA is filed under the name Vreelandella stevensii. RNAcentral's name for it is "partial 16S ribosomal RNA". It matches the Rfam family "Bacterial small subunit ribosomal RNA", at positions 338 to 795 of the family's 1533-position model. Lineage: Bacteria; Pseudomonadati; Pseudomonadota; Gammaproteobacteria; Oceanospirillales; Halomonadaceae. The record is from RNAcentral.